RNAcentral lists this transfer RNA (66 nucleotides) under Stenus boops. Its description in RNAcentral is "tRNA-Ala". The record is from RNAcentral. Lineage: Eukaryota; Metazoa; Arthropoda; Insecta; Coleoptera; Staphylinidae.
AGGAUAAUAGUUUAUUUAAAACAUUUAAAUUGCAAUUAAAACAUAUUAAAAUUUUAAUUUAUCUUA